UACAGAGGUCUCAAGCGUUGUUCGGAUUCAUUGGGCGUAAAGGGUGCGUAGGCGGCGCGGUAAGUCGGGUGUGAAAUCUCGGAGCUUAACUCCGAAACUGCAUUUGAUACUGCCGUGCUUGAGGACUGGAGAGGAGACUGGAAUUCUCGGUGUAGCGGUGAAAUGCGUAGAUAUCGAGAGGAACACCCGUGGCGAAGGCGGGUCUCUGGACAGUUCCUGACGCUGAGGCACGAAGGCCAGGGGAGCAAACAGG
This 253-nucleotide ribosomal RNA is filed under the name uncultured bacterium. RNAcentral's name for it is "partial 16S ribosomal RNA". It matches the Rfam family "Bacterial small subunit ribosomal RNA", at positions 524 to 776 of the family's 1533-position model. The record is from RNAcentral.